AGAGUUUGAUCAUGGCUCAGAGCGAACGCUGGCGGCGUGCUUAACACAUGCAAGUCGAGUGCGCGUUCCUGUAGCAAUACAGGAAUGGCGCACGGCGCACGGGUGCGUAACACGUGGGUAAUCUGCCCUCUGAUGGGGAAUAACCCGCCGAAAGGCGGGCUAAUACCGCAUAACAUUCCUUGGACUCCGGUUCGAGGAUUCAAAGGCGCAAGUCGUCGGAGGUGGAGCCCGCGCACGAUUAGCUAGUUGGUAGGGUAAUGGCCUACCAAGGCUAUGAUCGUUAGCUGGUCUGAGAGGAUGGCCAGCCACACUGGAACUGAGACACGGUCCAGACUCCUACGGGAGGCAGCAGUGGGGAAUCUUGCACAAUGGGCGAAAGCCUGAUGCAGCGACGCCGCGUGGGGGAUGAAGCUUCUCGGAGUGUAAACCCCUUUCGACCGGGACGAAUACCUCGCAAGAGGGGUGACGGUACCGGUAUAAGAAGCCCCGGCUAACUACGUGCCAGCAGCCGCGGUAAGACGUAGGGGGCCAGCGUUGCUCGGAAUUACUGGGUGUAAAGGGUUCGUAGGCGGUGUGGCAAGUCGGGAGUGAAAUCUCUGGGCUCAACUCAGGGGCUGCUUCCGAAACUGCCGUGCUAGAGUGUGGGAGAGGCGCGUGGAAUUGCAGGUGUAGCGGUGAAAUGCGUAGAUAUCUGCAGGAACACCCGUGGCGAAAGCGGCGCGCUGGACCACUACUGACGCUGAGGAACGAAAGCUAGGGGAGCAAACAGGAUUAGAUACCCCCGUAGUCC
Molecule: ribosomal RNA, 790 nt
Filed under: uncultured bacterium
Lineage: Bacteria
Description: bacterial SSU rRNA
Rfam family: Bacterial small subunit ribosomal RNA
Source: RNAcentral